This 320-nucleotide long non-coding RNA is filed under the name Homo sapiens (human). Its description in RNAcentral is "non-protein coding lnc-ZNF131-10:4". Lineage: Eukaryota; Metazoa; Chordata; Mammalia; Primates; Hominidae. The record is from RNAcentral.
CAGAAAUUAAGACUAUUCAAACCCUCUAGUCCCAGGGACUAUUGAAGAAGAAGUGGAUAAGGUCUAGAUCUGUCACCCAGGCUGGAGUACAGUGGCAUAGUCCUAGCUCACUGCAACCUCCACCUCCCAGGCUCAAGUGAUCCUACCACCUCAGCCUCCUAAGAAGCUGGGACUAUAGAUGUGCACCAACACGCAUGGCUAAUUUUUGUAUUUUUUGUAGACACCGUGUUUCGCCAUGUUGCCCAGGCUGGUCUCAAACUCCUGAGCUCAAGCAGUCUGCCUGCCUAGACCGCCCAAAGUGCUGAGUUUACAGGUGCGAG